AAGAAGCUGUGAAUCUACAGUUUGGAAGACGCAAUCCAAUGGAAAUCCCCGAUGGAACCAGCUAUCUAUAGCCUACUCUGAUCCUGAAAUGGGUAGAAAGGAGGGUGGUGAAAUUAUAAAAUCUCAGUGAGUAAACAAACACCAUUUAAAUCAGCUAAAGCUGAGUAAAAGGAGACAAACAAAAUAUCCCAUCAUAUUAUGUAUUUCUCAAUUUGAAAAUUCAUCCCAACUCAUGCAAACGAUUGUAUUUCAUUUAAUUUCUCAUUAAGGCUUAUGACUUCCAUAAACAUUUGGCUCAUGCCAUCAAAUAGUACUCGAUUACACCUUGAUCAGAGGUGUACACUCGAGCCCGCCAAGGCUGUUAAAAUUUCGUAUACACUUAAAACAUAUCUUUAGUUUGAAAAACAUAGCCAUUCCUUGGCGUUAGCUGAGUUCCCCUUCACGUGGUGGUUUGGUGUAAAGUGAACCCUAAGCUUUACCCCAGGAGAUACCCUACGCGCCUCUCUGUUCGAGGUAAGAAUAUAAUGAGGUUUACCGUGCCCCUCAAAAAGGCUAAUCCACAGAAACCCCCUACUGCAGUGAUUAAUUAAUAUAUAAUCCACCAAUCAAUAAAAUUCAUUCUAGCAUGACAUGGCAAUUAUUAUAAUUCACAGCCCUUCAAGGCUAAAUACACAUUUCAUAUAUUUUAACACCAAUACCAAUUCAGCCAUUCAUGCAAAUACUGUCAUAAGCCAUUAGAUUCAAAUCAUAAACUUAAUUCAUAACAAGUGGUCUCCAAUUACUCUAUUUUUCAAAAUCAUUAUUCAAUUUUAAAACAAUUUAUAAAAUCUUUUCAUGUAAACACAUUUUGUUUGUAAAACUCAAGAUUUACCAUUUAAUUUCAUUUUCAUAAAAUUUCAUUAAAAUUGAUUAAAAACAUACUUUAGAUAAUUAAAAUGAUGGUAAGGUUACUCACAGUACUAGGAGUUCGAUAUACUCCUAUUCUCGAUCUUCGGGCACAAUCUCUUUACCCUUGUUAGAGGGCUCACCACCUAUACAUCAUACGUGACACGAAUUUCAAUAAAUUGUGUCAAUUCAUCAUAAACUUUUUCAGGCUUUCUAAAUCUAAAUGAAUGCAUGCGAUGGGAUGCAAAAUGUCUGAUUAAUCACUUAAAUGUGAUAUUCGACCUAAGUCGCACUAUACUCGCCCUAAUCGGCUAAAAUCUCCAAUUUAACUCCAAAUAAAUUCUUCUCACUUUCUACACUCUAAUUUUACCUAAAUUACCUCAGUGACUGUGAAUGAGAUUCAAUUUAUCAGUCCUGGGUCAAAAUCACACAUGUUUAUAUGUUUAGCAAAAAUUUGUAUUUUCGCACCAAAAUUUCCCAUUUAAUUUCUAGCCUCACCAAACAUCAAAUAUCACCAAAAUAUCAUGGAAUAUCAUCAAAUUCAGCCACAAUAUUCUCCCUAGGAAAUUCGGCCAAUGAUGGUAAUGGGGGAAAAUGAAUUCUUUUCUUGUUGUUUUGUUUCUAAAUAUGCUAAACUAACUUAAAACACUAACAUAACUUAAAAUCAAAUCAAUCUAACUUCAUUCUCUCUCCAUACCCAUUUGGGUAGCCAUGAAUUCACCAUGAAAACAUAAAAUCUAACCAUGGAAAAUAAAGACAAAAGCAUGGGAAAGGUAGAUCAUAAGCCAAAAUCAAGAAAUUUUACCUUUGAUUGCUUGAUUUCUUGAAAUCCCACACUUUUUCUUUAAUUUUCCCACCUAGGUUUCUUGUUUU
This 1758-nucleotide long non-coding RNA is filed under the name Theobroma cacao (cacao). RNAcentral's name for it is "long non-coding RNA (TCAC_LNC006385)". Lineage: Eukaryota; Viridiplantae; Streptophyta; Magnoliopsida; Malvales; Malvaceae. The record is from RNAcentral.